This 73-nucleotide transfer RNA is filed under the name Actinomycetes bacterium. RNAcentral describes it as "tRNA-Ile". It matches the Rfam family "tRNA". Rfam says of the family: Transfer RNA (tRNA) molecules are approximately 80 nucleotides in length. Their secondary structure includes four short double-helical elements and three loops (D, anti-codon, and T loops). The record is from RNAcentral. Lineage: Bacteria; Bacillati; Actinomycetota; Actinomycetes.
GGGGUGGUAGCUCAGUGGUUAGAGCAGGGGACUCAUAAUCCCUGGGUCGUGGGUUCGAUCCCCACCCGCCCCA